RNAcentral lists this ribosomal RNA (415 nucleotides) under uncultured microorganism. RNAcentral's name for it is "bacterial SSU rRNA". It matches the Rfam family "Archaeal small subunit ribosomal RNA", at positions 330 to 745 of the family's 1478-position model. The record is from RNAcentral.
GCGCAGCAGGCGCGAAACCUCCGCAAUACACGAAAGUGUGACGGGGCCAUCCCGAGUGCCGUCCGCUGAGGACGGCUUUUCCCCAGUGUACAUAGCUGGGGGAAUAAGGAGAGGGCAAGCCUGGUGUCAGCCGCCGCGGUAAUACCAGCUCUCCGAGUGGUGGGGACGCUUAUUGGGCCUAAAGCAUCCGUAGCCGGCUGGGCAAGUCCUCCGUUAAAUCCAACGAUUCAAUCGUUGGGCUGCGGGGGAUACUGUCCAGCUUGGGGGGCGGGAGAGGCCGACGGUAUUCCCGGGGUAGGGGUGAAAUCCUAUAAUCCCGGGAGGACCACCAGUGGCGAAGGCUGUCGGCUAGAACGCGCCCGACGGUGAGGGGAUGAAAGCUGGGGGAGCGAACCGGAUUAGAUACCCCUGUAGU